GAAAAUUGUGCCUGUGGAUACAAGAGCAGUGAGGCAUGCCAUACAUAACACAAAUUUUUAUUUGAAGUCCCGCAAGAGACGAUAUAUUACAAAUACAAGAGCAGUGAGGCAUGCCAUACAUUACACAAUUUUUUAUUUGAAGUCUCGCAAGGGACGAUAUAUUACACAUCUGACAGAUCAAAUUUUUAGUGCAGAUUGAAGUGAUCAGCAAAGAUCAUAUCAGCUAUUGAGCCACAGUUCAAAAAUACCUCUUUUAGAUGUCUCACAGUUCAAAAUACAUUAAUAUCUGCUAGAAACUAUGAGCAAACUAUAGAGCAGUAUUCGAAAAUUUAAUCUAUAUGUCAAAAGAAUG
RNAcentral lists this long non-coding RNA (352 nucleotides) under Nicotiana benthamiana. RNAcentral's name for it is "long non-coding RNA (NBEN_LNC018594)". Lineage: Eukaryota; Viridiplantae; Streptophyta; Magnoliopsida; Solanales; Solanaceae. The record is from RNAcentral.